RNAcentral lists this ribosomal RNA (680 nucleotides) under uncultured archaeon. RNAcentral's name for it is "bacterial SSU rRNA". It matches the Rfam family "Archaeal small subunit ribosomal RNA", at positions 96 to 778 of the family's 1478-position model. The record is from RNAcentral.
ACACGUAGUUAAUCUGCCCUUAGGUCAAGAAUAUCCUCGGGAAACUGAGGUUAAAUCUUGAUAGGAGUUUAGUGCUGGAAUGCUUUUACUCACAAAGGUUUCGCCUAAGGAUGAGACUGCGGCUGAUUAGCUAGUUGGUGGGGUAACUGCCUACCAAGGCGAUGAUCAGUACGGGCUCUUAGCGGAGUUGCCCGGAGAGGGAAUCUGAGACACUAUUCCCAGCCCUACGGGGUGCAGCAGCAGCGAAUCAUUUGCAAUGCACGAAAGUGUGACAAUGCGAACCAAAGUGCCUAUUCAUUUGAAUAUGCUUUUCUUUGCUCUAAAAAUGCAGAGGAAUAAGGACUGGGCAAGACUGGUGCCAGCCGCCGCGGUAAUCCCAGCAGUUCAAGUCGCAUCCACUAUUAUUGGGUCUAAAACAUCCGUAGCUUGCAGUUUAAGUCUCUUGUGAAAUCCCACUUCUCAAGUGUGGGGCUUGCAGGAGAUACUGGAUUGCUAGAGAUCGGUAGACGUAAGAAGUACACUGGAGGUAGUGGUAAAAUACGUUAAUCUUCGGUGGACUAACAAUCAGCGAAGGCAUCUUACGAGGACGAAUCUGACAGUGAGGGAUGAAGGCCAGGGGCGCAAAACGGAUUAGAUACCCGUGUAGUCCUGGCAGUAAACACUGCUCACUAAACAUCGGG